ACCUGCCGUCUACUCUUGGACAGCCUUCUGAAAGGAAGAUUAAUACAAGAUGGCAUCAUGAGUCCGCAUGUUCACAUGAUUAAAGGUAUUCCGGUAGACGAUGGGGAUGCGUUCCAUUAGAUAGUAGGCGGGGUAACGGCCCACCUAGUCUUCGAUGGAUAGGGGUUCUGAGAGGAAGGUCCCCCACAUUGGAACUGAGACACGGUCCAAACUCCUACGGGAGGCAGCAGUGAGGAAUAUUGGUCAAUGGGCGAGAGCCUGAACCAGCCAAGUAGCGUGAAGGAUGACUGCCCUAUGGGUUGUAAACUUCUUUUAUAAAGGAAUAAAGUCGGGUAUGGAUACCCGUUUGCAUGUACUUUAUGAAUAAGGAUCGGCUAACUCCGUGCCAGCAGCCGCGGUAAUACGGAGGAUCCGAGCGUUAUCCGGAUUUAUUGGGUUUAAAGGGAGCGUAGAUGGAUGUUUAAGUCAGUUGUGAAAGUUUGCGGCUCAACCGUAAAAUUGCAGUUGAUACUGGAUAUCUUGAGUGCAGUUGAGGCAGGCGGAAUUCGUGGUGUAGCGGUGAAAUGCUUAGAUAUCACGAAGAACUCCGAUUGCGAAGGCAGCCUGCUAAGCUGCAACUGACAUUGAGGCUCGAAAGUGUGGGUAUCAAACAGGAUUAGAUACCCUGGUAGUCCACACGGUAAACGAUGAAUACUCGCUGUUUGCGAUAUACGGCAAGCGGCCAAGCGAAAGCGUUAAGUAUUCCACCUGGGGAGUAC
This 758-nucleotide ribosomal RNA is filed under the name uncultured bacterium. RNAcentral describes it as "bacterial SSU rRNA". It matches the Rfam family "Bacterial small subunit ribosomal RNA", at positions 124 to 883 of the family's 1533-position model. The record is from RNAcentral.